Molecule: ribosomal RNA, 253 nt
Filed under: uncultured bacterium
Lineage: Bacteria
Description: partial 16S ribosomal RNA
Rfam family: Bacterial small subunit ribosomal RNA
Source: RNAcentral
UACGUAGGGUGCAAGCGUUGUCCGGAAUUAUUGGGCGUAAAGAGCUCGUAGGCGGUUCGUCGCGUCGGCUGUGAAAUCCCGAGGCUCAACCUCGGGUCUGCAGUCGAUACGGGCGGACUGGAGUACUGCAGGGGAGACUGGAAUUCCUGGUGUAGCGGUGAAAUGCGCAGAUAUCAGGAGGAACACCCGUGGCGAAGGCGGUGGCCUGGACCGAUGCUGACGCUGAGGCGCGAAAGCGUGGGGAGCGAUCCGG